This 389-nucleotide ribosomal RNA is filed under the name uncultured bacterium. RNAcentral describes it as "bacterial SSU rRNA". It matches the Rfam family "Bacterial small subunit ribosomal RNA", at positions 28 to 417 of the family's 1533-position model. The record is from RNAcentral.
GACGAACGCUGGCGGCGUGCUUAACACAUGCAAGUCGAGCGGUAAGGCCCUUUCGGGGUACGACGAGCGGCGAACGGGUGAGUAACACGUGGGUGACCUGCCCUCAGCUCUGGGAGUAAGCCUGGGAAACCGGGUCUAAUACUGGAUAUGACUCCAUGACGCAUGUUGUGGGGUGGAAAGCCUUGUGCGGCUGAGGAUGGGCCCGCGGCCUAUCAGCUUGUUGGUGGGGUGAUGGCCUACCAAGGCGACGACGGGUAGCCGGCCUGAGAGGGCGACCGGCCACACUGGGACUGAGACACGGCCCAGACUCCUACGGGAGGCAGCAGUGGGGAAUCUUGCGCAAUGGGCGAAAGCCUGACGCAGCGACGCCGCGUGAGGGAUGACGGCCU